AAGGCCAAAAUUGUGAACCCUGAU
This 24-nucleotide small RNA is filed under the name Arabidopsis thaliana (thale cress). Its description in RNAcentral is "ATSL135620". The record is from RNAcentral. Lineage: Eukaryota; Viridiplantae; Streptophyta; Magnoliopsida; Brassicales; Brassicaceae.